This 254-nucleotide ribosomal RNA is filed under the name uncultured bacterium. RNAcentral describes it as "partial 16S ribosomal RNA". It matches the Rfam family "Bacterial small subunit ribosomal RNA", at positions 524 to 776 of the family's 1533-position model. The record is from RNAcentral.
GACGUAGGGUCCAAGCGUUGUCCGGAUUUACUGGGCGUAAAGAGCGCGUAGGCGGUCUAUUAAGUGUGAAGUGAAAUCUCCAGGGCUCAACCCGGAAACUGCUUCGCAUACUGAUAGACUUGAGGAAUGCAGAGGUUUGUGGAAUUCCUGGUGUAGCGGUGAAAUGCGUUGAUAUCAGGAGGAACACCAAUAGCGAAGGCAGCUCGCUGGGACGGUACUGACGCUAAGGCGCGAAAGCGUGGGGAGCGAACAGG